RNAcentral lists this long non-coding RNA (4150 nucleotides) under Callithrix jacchus (white-tufted-ear marmoset). RNAcentral's name for it is "lncRNA (ENSCJAG00000087346.1)". The record is from RNAcentral. Lineage: Eukaryota; Metazoa; Chordata; Mammalia; Primates; Cebidae.
UCUAGUGCUGUCAGUGGAGUACUGAAAUCCUCACUCUUAUUGUGUUACUGCCUAUUCCAUUUCUUAGGUCUAGCAAUAAUUGUUUUACAAAUUUGGGAGUUCCAGUGUUAGAUGUAUAUAUAUUUAGGAUUGUGGUAUUUUCCUGUUGGAACAGGGGUUUUACCAUUAUAUAACAUCCCUCCUUGUCUUUUUUAACUGCUGUUGCUUCAGAGUUUGUUUUGUCUGAUAUAAGAAUAGCUACUUCUGCUUGCUUUGGUGUCCAUUCACAGGAAAUAUUCUUUUUCCAUUCCCGUAAGUUUAUGUUAGUCCUUAUGUGUUAGAUGAAUCUCUUAAGGGCAGCGGACAGUUGGUUGGUGAAUUCUAAUCCAUUCUGCAAUGAGCAUUUAGGUCAUUUUCAUUUAACAUUAGUCUUGAUGUAUGAGCCAGCCAGCAGGUCUACCAGGCUCCAGGCUGGUACUGGGGUUGUCUGCCACAGAGUCCUGUGAUGUAAACAAUCUGCAGCUCUCUCAGCCAUGGAUACCAGCUCCAGCACCUGCUCCCAUGCAGGUGGCAGCUUGGGCAUUCACAGUAUUUGGGCUGUCUACGGCAUCCUGCAGCAGCAAUCCACUUCCUUCUGAAGAUCUGUGAGUUAUCUCGGCUUUUCUGGUUUAUUCCUAUAGUAGUUCUGGAGCAAAAGUUCACAAGAUGAGUCUCUACACACUGCCCUAUCUGUAUGAGUGGGAGCUGCAACAUAGUCCUACCUUUUACUCACCAUUUUUCAGCUUCCUCCAGCACAACACUUGUUCUGAGGAAGACCAAAUGGUAUGUCAUGCGGACACUCAGGCAGCCCUGUGAAGAGGUCCAUGUGAUAAGGAACUGAUCCUUCUGACAAUAACCAACAAGGAACUUAGUCAUCCUGCCAACAGCCAGGGAAGGGACCCAUCUUUAAAGCUGAGCUUUUAGCUACAAUUGGGCCUUCAGAUAAAUGCAGCCCUGGCCAACCUUGUGAGACUCCUUAUGCCAGAAUCAUCAAGUUAAGCCACUCUUGGACUUCAAAAACAGCAUGAGAUAAUAAAUGUUUGUUGGUUUUAGUUACUAAUUUUUGGAUACAUUUUUAUAUAGCAAUAGAUAAUGAAAACAGAUAUUGGUGGCUGUAAGUUGGGCGCUCUCACAGCAAAUGAAUAAGAAUGUGGGUGUGGCUUUGAAAACUGGCAGUGGGAAAAUCUUAAAGGAGUUUGAGGAGAUGGUUAGUGAAAGCACAAAGUGCCUUAAGUGGACUGUUAGCAGAUGUCUAGAUUUUGUGGAGUCUUCUAUCAAGGGCUUAAAGGAAAAUUAGGAACAUGUUAUUGAAAACUGGAGGAAGGGGAAUUCUUGUUAUAUAGUGGCAGAAAGUUUAUCAUCACUGUGACCUGUAGUUAUAUUGAAAUAUACCUAAUGAACUGGGUGAACUAGCCAGCCGCCAUCUGGUUUCUUCUUGUUGCUUAUAAUACAGUGAAAAUAAUAAGGAAAAAAUACCCUGUGAAGUCAAAGAGCUAGGAGUUGCUAUUUUGAAGUUUACCAGUCUCACCAGAUUACAAAUGAUGCUAGAAUUAAGCAGUGUUUCCAAGCAAGGAUGAAACACAGGACGCUGUGAGAAAAGCUUGGUCCAAAUUUGAAGCACAGGGUAUGGCUUCCACCUUCAUUAGAAUUAUUUUUGAAGACCUCAGAGAGGUCUGAGGUGGUGCAUAAGAGGACCAUUCAAUCAAAAGGCCAUAUAAACAGCUUAAUGACAUGCUUCACUGAGGCAUAUCUACCAACAGUAGUAUUUCUAAGAUGUUUAUUUCUCAGCCACCUGAGCAGAAGCUUAACAGAAAAGGGGAAGGCCUAUCCUGAGGAGACUCAUGAGCAUAUCUUUAAUCUAAUGGAGUAAACCCUCACUGAGAUUCACAGAAAACUCAGCUUUUAAUGAAAUUGUGUUUUCAGAAAACUUUCAGCUUAGACUGAAAGGGACAGGGAGAAUAUAUAAUAAAAGAGAUCUUAAGUCCUCAAAAUUCUGGCAUGAAACUGGAUGAGAAACUAUGCAACUGCAAACAUGGCUUACUAUUCUUGAAAAAGGAAGAUGAUUCAGAGAAUGGAACCAUGAGCCCAGAGGGUGUAGCCUACCUCAGUUCUAGGUGGGAGUAGAACUGAGCUCUGAUCAAGGAAUUUCCAACGUUUGCCCAGCUGAAUUUGCAGAAUUACUACAGGUGAGUGACCCCUUGCCUCUCCAAUCCCCUCUCUCCUUUUAACAGGGAUUGUCUUAUGCCUUAUACCUAUUAUUGUAUGAUUGGCAUAUUAGUUGGAAGAUAACUUAUCUCUCUAGUUCAUAGGUUUUCAGAUCUAGGGAAACUAUGCUUGAGGAGCUGUACUAAUCAAACCCAAGGAACCUCAAAUGCACCUGAAUUUAGAUGAUAAGAUUCGGAACUUCAGGUUGAUCUUAUAAUGGUAUAAAACAUUUAAGAUCCCUGAGAGGGGAGGAUGUAUUUUGUAUAUAGAAUAAAUACUUUGUGACAAUGGGAUUAACAGUGGGUUUUUUUUUCCAAAUAUGUCCAAAAACUUUUGAUACUGCUCCCUCAAGAAAUACAGCCAAAUUUUCCUCCCCUCAGUCUGGAAUGGACAUAGCAGUUUUCUUCUAAUUAACACAAAAAAAGCAAAAGCAGUGGUAUGUAACUCCAGAGACAAGAGUUACAUAGAGAAGGCACUGUAACUUUUUUUCUCUAUCUUGGGUCACUCACUCUGGGGUAACCCAGCUGCCACACCAUGAGAAUGCUCAAAUGCCCUUACAGAAAUACCCAUAUGAUGAAAAACCGAGACCUACUGCCAAUCACCAGCAAGGAUAUAAGGCAUCCAUAGAAAAAGCUUAGAAAUGGCUCUUCCAGUUCCAGCUUAGCUGUCAGAUGAGUGCUACUCCAGUCAACAGCUUGAUUUGCUACCUCAUGAGAGACCAUAAGCUUAAACCAUCCAGCUAAACUAUUUGUGGACUCUCUAUCCUUAGAAACUGUGUUAGAUAAUAAAUAUUUGUAGUUUUUAACUAUUAAGUUUUGAGGGUAAUUUGUUACACAACAAAAGAUAAAUAAUGAAUUAGGGAUAAAUAAAUUCUGUAUCAUCUGAUAAUUCAGAAAUAACAGAAGUAAUCAAAAAGUAGAGAACUGGAGUGGGGAGAGGAAAAGAAAAAACAUUUCAUUGAUUAUCGUGAAGAUGGGCAUCAGAGAAUAUAAUAAGCUGAGAAAUCAAAUACUAAAAGCCGAGUCAUAAGUAAAUGAUAAACACUUUGAAAGCUAAUACUAUCAGUUCAAACUGAAUGAGAGGAGGGUGAAGAGAGAUGGGAAAAAAAUUCUAAUCAAAUGAAAUGAUUAAUUACUAAAAAAUUUUUUGAGGUGGAGUCUCACUCUGUCGCCCAGGCUGGAAUGCAAUGGCAGGAUCUCAGUUGACUGCAACCUCCGCCUCCCAGGUUCAGGCGAUUCUCCUGCCUCAGCUCCUGAGUAGCUGAGAUUAUAGGUGUACACCAGCAUGCCCAGCUAAUUUUUUGUAUUUUUAGUAGAGACGAGGUUUCACCAUGUUAGUCAGGCUGGCCUUAUGAUCCGCCUGCCUCAGCCUCCCAAAGUGCUGGAAUUACAAGUGUGAGACACCUCGCCCAGCUGAUUAAUUACUAAAAUUGAAAAUGGAUUCAUUGGAACUUAAUUGGAGUGUAAAAUAAGCAGAAGAGCUAAAUUUCUCACUGAUAUGGUCAGAAAAAAUGUUAUGAAGCUCAAUUUUUUUGCCUAGAUAUAAACUAUGGAUUCAUGACCAAAAAAAUACGUUAUUAUUCUCUUCCUCCUGUAAAUGUGACCAAUUCGCUACAGUUAAUGAUCUAAUUAUAAGGCAAUGUCUCCUUUUAACGAGAAGAUAUUUUAGUUAUUUAUGUGCUUUUCUGCUUGGCUAAUAUAAAGAGUAUAUUAAAUUUAUCAGGAUAUUAUAUAGUCACUUUCAUAGAUGAAAGAAAGACUAUAGUUCCCUAGACAGUAGAAAUAAAAUAAUCUAGAAUGAAAUAGCCCAUAUGUAUAUUAAAAUAAAAUUUGUAAAAAUGAAGCUUGCCAGAUAUUAGUAGAAAUGAUCUCAUUAUGAAAUCUUCAGGUUCUCAUUUCUUGGAAAAGCCAUAAUUAUAACCUUAUCU